This 502-nucleotide ribosomal RNA is filed under the name uncultured bacterium. RNAcentral's name for it is "bacterial SSU rRNA". It matches the Rfam family "Bacterial small subunit ribosomal RNA", at positions 338 to 850 of the family's 1533-position model. The record is from RNAcentral.
CCUACGGGAGGCAGCAGUGGGGAAUAUUGCACAAUGGGCGGAAGCCUGAUGCAGCAACGCCGCGUGCGGGAUGACGGCCUUCGGGUUGUAAACCGCUUUCAGCAGGGACGAAGCGCAAGUGACGGUACCUGCAGAAGAAGCACCGGCUAACUACGUGCCAGCAGCCGCGGUGAUACGUAGGGUGCGAGCGUUGUCCGGAUUUAUUGGGCGUAAAGAGCUUGUAGGCGGUUGGUUGCGUCGAAAGUGCAAACUCAGGGCUUAACUCUGAGCCUGCUUUCGAUACGGGCUGACUGGAGGAAGGUAGGGGAGAAUGGAAUUCCCGGUGGAGCGGUGGAAUGCGCAGAUAUCGGGAGGAACACCAGUGGCGAAGGCGGUUCUCUGGACCUUUCCUGACGCUGAGAAGCGAAAGCGUGGGGAGCAAACAGGCUUAGAUACCCUGGUAGUCCACGCUGUAAACGGUGGGUACUAGGUGUGGGGGACAUUCCACGUUCUCUGUGCCGUA